This is a long non-coding RNA of Wasmannia auropunctata (little fire ant), 1368 nucleotides long. RefSeq lists it as uncharacterized. The transcript has 2 exons. The record is from RefSeq and is a predicted model, not a curated record. Lineage: Eukaryota; Metazoa; Arthropoda; Insecta; Hymenoptera; Formicidae.
UUUUCGCGUUUCCGAAUGUCGGAUCGUCUUAACUGGGCACGAAACUGUCGUGUACUGGACGUAAUCUUAUCGUAGCCGAAUCCGCGGCGCGAGAGGUAUAUACCGAGCUAUACCGAGAGAUACCAAGGAAGAAGGGAGAAAUCUUAUCAAACUCCAUCGGGAAAGGCGAAACUAAGUGUCGGGGCCGAAAGGUUGAGUGCGGAAUUUUGAGAGCGAUAUUUAUACGUGACCGUCACUCUUUUUACCUGCAGCAGCGAUCAAAAAUUAUACUUAUUCGAAACGCGAUCGCGGACGCGUUCGUUGCAGACUUUCAUCGCAGACUUUUGUCAUUCCUCUGUAGAAAUUUCGAAUUGUCUAUCUACGAAUCGUCUAUAUCUACAAUUCAGUGUCCUCUUCGGGGAGAAAAUUAGAGGGUAUCCUUAUGUUCGCGAAUUUUGACCAGGAACGGCGAAGUAUGCUCGCCGAGCGCGAACAAUGGCGUGUCCGAUCGUAAAACGGGACGUUUCGAGGAAAAAAGUGCCUCCACCGCAAACCGAAAGGAACGACCGCGAUAAGGCCCCGGCGCGCGGUUCUCCGCCGAGAAAAACAUUCGCCCGGCUUUAGCGGAAUAGCAGUGCGAACUUUCCCCAAGUUUCCCGGUGCGGUAAAGUGCGCGCCGACGUUACGUAUACGCAUCCAACUUUUGGCACACACAGGAUGAGAAACGUUUGCGUUACGUUGAAGUUACGUUGAUGAUCCCGCUCUUGCUUCUCCACGUAUCGCGAGUAAACCUCGUCUUUAAAAAAAAAAAAUAAAAAAAAACCGCGGAGAGAAAAACUUAAUUUUUAAUUAAAUUAUUUUUCAAAUUAUGUGUUGACUUUGUACUUUCUACAACAGCUUUUCGCGGUUUGUUUGUUAGGCAUUGCUAUUCAAACUGCAUCGAGAUUACAAUUUCAACGAUGAUUGGAAAACUGAUUCUGAAUGCACUUCUGUAGUCAGUUUUAUUUAUUCGUAAUUAAUUGUAAUGAUAAUGAAAUUGUACAUUCAAGUUAGCUCAAUACGGUCUAAGAAAUUUUAUGAAACAAAUUAGCGCUUCGUUGUGGCCCUUUCGACAGUCUGUUCUUGUGAUACCAAAAUAUUAUCGGCAACGAUAGAUCUAUUUUCGAAGCUAAUAAUCUUAUCUCGGGUUUUUUACAAGUAUAAAUAUACAACGAAAUAUAUAUACUUAUUUAUGUUAUCUACUAUUAACAAAUUCAAAGAAAUUUAGAAAUCAUGUUUGUAUAGAUAAAUCUCUUUCUCUCUCUUUUUUUUAUGUUAUGCAAAUACACCUUAUACAUAAAUGUGAAUGUAAUAUAAUUAAAUCAUUCGAAAAGAGAUUUUACAAAGUGA